Long non-coding RNA from Monomorium pharaonis (pharaoh ant), 3497 nucleotides. RefSeq lists it as uncharacterized. The record is from RefSeq and is a predicted model, not a curated record. The transcript has 2 exons. Lineage: Eukaryota; Metazoa; Arthropoda; Insecta; Hymenoptera; Formicidae.
CGACAGAUCCAGCCAUGUGCUCGCUCUGUCCGCGUUCGAAGAAAGCCCAUCAUCCGAAAAAGCUCGUGCGCUUCGACUCCAUUGUCGACACGUUCUCCAUCUCAGACUCCAAUGCGGCGAACAAUGAGAGGGUAAGUCACGAGUUCCUUUCUACUGCUAUGUUAACGUGAGUAAUUUUUAAAUAUAAAUUUCUUAAAUAUAAACAUUGUUCUGGUCGAAGAGACAAUUGUCGAACUAAAAUUAUAUCUUAACUGUCAAAAUACUCAUCGCUCAGUAGGCCAAUUAUGAAACAAGAAAAACGUGUUACAUUAGUUUUUAACUUGUAAUUAAAUCGCUAUAACAAUUAUUAGACGUGAAUCCUUCCCACAUCGAGACUCCUAUUAUUGAAUCGUGGCGGUCGAUAGCGCAAUCCAUAUAUGAUAUUAACCGUUUCUAAUUUCCGCUGAUCGACAGCAACUCCAUUCUAAUGGUUUCAGUUAUCAUUGAAACCUGAUACGCUACCAUGAAUCAGUAUUCCAAUUCUAUGAAUUUGUUCUCAAUUUCUUGAUCUUGUUAGUAUAAAUUUCGUUAUUAUCAAUCCUUUUUUGGAAAAGAAGGGAGCAGAGCGUUCUUUGCAUUUGAUCCGCCUAAUUCGCUAAGAGUAUCUCCUGUUUCUAGCAUUCUUGGCAAUCAAUUUCUACGGUAACCUAUGACUUAAUGUCGGUAAAACAAAGGAGUAGAGUGUUCUCUGUCUCUGUCGAGCGUUCUCGACAUCCGACACCACAGACUAUUAUUGGUGAUAGAGCAUUCUCUGUCUUCACCGAAGAGCAUUCUUGGCCUUGGUAACUGGAUUCUAACAAUUUAGUACGCCUAUUGUAGAAUGUACAUGUGCUAAUACGUACAGAGCACAUUAGAUUAUCCGUGUAUUGAAUAAAUUCGUUUUUCCGAAACAAAUAAAUCAACCAAACUUACAUCAAUCAAAUUUAAAUUAAAUUUAUAAUCAAGCUUAUAAUAAAUUUGUUAUUGAUGAAAAGUUAAAUAUUGUUUUAGUACCAAAUAUAAAGUAUAAUAAAAAAAUGACCCAAGUGAUUCGCAUUCAGCAAUUCUGUACCUUGCAUACUUUUAUAUAUAAAAUAAUAUCACAAAUCGAUUUUUUUAUUAUCUAUAUUAUUCGUAUACUUUUAUACGAUAUUAUUUAUCCAUAAAAUAAAAUUUGCUUACUUAUUACUGAAAGGAUAUUAUCUACAUUUUGUGUUUUGCAAUUUAUAUAGUUUUAAAGAUACAUCUUCAAUAAUAGUCCAUCUACAUCAGCAAAUAGCUAGUCGGUGUACAUAGAACGGCGUACACGUAGCGCUUUGCAAACGCGAAAUCUUUCGCCGCGAUCCCCUCGGUCCUUUCAGGAAAGCGAGUUCGCGAGGCACGGGGUACAAAGCGCUCGUUAGAAUUAAUUCGAAAAGACGCAUGCCACUCUGUGCGGGAACAAAGUUAGUUUCCCGGCGACAAAGGCGAAAUACGACAAAGAUGGCGCGGGAAGUCAGUUUCAAAGCUCCCGGCCGUACCUUGUGUCGGGUGGCUGUGCCGCGCGGAAAACCAAGUUGAAAUAACAAGACGUGUCGCCCGCCGCGGAAAUUGCGCGGCUUUUGUUUCCGUGCGCGAGCUUCCACGCGUGCGUAUGUACCUGUCGUAACGAUUACUCGCGGCAAAAACGCGGUAUCCGUAAUUCAUCGCGCUUCGCGUAUUUUGGCGUAAUACAUCGCGCGAAUCUUCUUGUACUUCGCGCCAAUCCGCGAAUCUGUUUCUCGCGUUCCUGCCGUCUGAAAAUCUUCAGAACGCCCAUACAUUGCGCGCGAUUCCAAUCGCCCCUCCCUCGUCCAUAUUUCACCCAACUGAUUCCACGUUCCUACGUAGCGUCGUCGAUCGUGGGGAGACCGUGAGAUCACGGACAGGUUUCCCGCUGUACGUCGUUGGCAAAUGUUGGUCCGGGCCAGGGGUGGCGAAGCCGGGACCUCCGCGCGCGGCCUCGUCUCGGCGUUCCGCUCGCUUUUUAUUUUAUUUAAUCUCGCCGUAGAGACGGAUAAAGGGAAACCGUCCGUCGCGAAGAGUAACUGGAGAAAUACCCGGCACGUUCCUUAUCGCCGUCGACCUAAAUUACGACGUCCGUUUCGAGUCGGACUUGCCUCUCCCCCGGCCGGCCGCCUCUUCCCGAUUCCUCCUUUAUAAUCAGUUUGAUGCGACGGGAAUUUUAAGGCCGUCGCCCGAACCGUGGCUCCGGUAUCACGCGGACGAUAACGUACGUACGUACGUGCCCGGCGCGAAUCGAGCGAGCUUAUCACGUAAAGAAACGUACGUGCGCGCGCGCCGUCCGUGUGUCGGUCGUCCCUUAGCAUUAGCGGCGAGGCGAACUUUUCGAAGUUCGCGCGGCCGGCCCGCCCUGCAACCCACAAUCCAUUCGCCUUCUUCCGCGCAGCCGGGAUUUAGGAUUCCGCCGCUGUUAAUCGCCACCGGGGAUAAUCCGAUUAUCACUUAAUCCUAAGCUCAUCGAUGCGCGCCGUGUCAAACGCAUCUCUUCGUUUUUCGUCCUGUCCGGUAGACAGGAGAAUCCUUUAUUGGAGUUGGGAAAUUCUAAGCUCGGAAGAAACGCGCGGGGAAAUCUAACACCGUUAAAAUUUUCGGUGUCGUUAAAAGCGGGAAAUGUCGGGUGACUUUGCGAAAUAAUCUGUAAUAUCAUCGUAUGAAAAUAGUUUUAUUCAUUAAGACCGAAGUGUCUGACUAAACUCCCGGGAGUAGUGCAAUUACGUCUUACAGCUCGGAUGAUAAACAGACGCGUAAACUUUGUCAAAUACAUGCGCAUUUGUGAAAUUAAAUUCCAUUGGUGUCAUCGGAAACAAUUUUACCCCGACAAACGAGAUAAUUAACACGCUGCAGUCAUCUCCACGUCGAGCGCAACGUUUAUCCCGAAUUCUCUUGGCAUUUCGGACUGAUAUGUGCGCCACUCUCUUUCGUACAAAUUCGUACACGUCCCCACGAUGAGUUUCUCCAAAAGUUGGCCAACCCGCGUUUAGGUGAACAUUUUAAGAACAUGAGGUGCCUGUGAAAUGACCCCCUGGCCUAAAUUAAUCCGGACAAACAGGCACGUACCCUACUAAAUAUUAAAGAAUCAAAUUUAAACUAAUUCUUUGAAUUAAAUAACACAUUUUGUAUAACACAUUCUGUAUAACUCAGUAACAUAUUUUUAACGUCUAUGUAUGUCAAAAUAAUUUAUUGUUUUAACACAAAACAUAUAAUUAAAAAAACAACCUCUAAUCAACACAUUCUGUGGUUGAGUUGCUUAUUUUUAGAAUAAACAGUAUUUAUAUUAACGUGCAUACUUAAUAAAUAAUAAACAAAUUUACUUUUUAACAUUUCUUGCAUGACAUUACUUGCAUGACACAACUAUAAUACAAUUUAAAUUAACAUAUUAGUAUCAAUGACGACUUUUAGGAAUGAUUAAAAUAAUUUCAAUUUCAAUUUAAAACUAC